AACACGGGUGGACAGUCAUUCAGAACACCUCGCGCCUUUCAUCAAACACAACGAAUCAGCCAAUGCGUUCCAAGUAGGUGUAAAGUUCCACUUGAUGACGUCAAAUGAUUAACAAAAUGAUAGCAUAUCACGUGACACAGUUAACUCCAUUUUUACAUUAGUGCGUAACGAAACAUCGACGCAAUUGCAAUCAACAUUAAACCAAUGUAGGCCAUCCCGGAAGUUACGUAGUACAGCUAUUUUAAGAGUGCUGAGAAUUGCCAUAAACUACUUUCGUUACUGAAGGGAAGUUCUACACAGGGAAGAACAUGUUUGAAUGAAUUUAAUGACAUUAAAACUGGCAAUGGAAGAGAAUAAUGAAGCCAUUUUGGCCCACAAUGCGUUGGCAGAGUAUCUGCGCAGUCAGCUUGUGGAAGAAGAUUUUAAAAGGUUAAAAAAUUUAUUUCGAGAUGUUCCACUUCAGCCAAGAGAAAUGCAGGAAAUUGGAGAUAUGACCGAAUUAUUCAACAAACUUCAAACCUAUGAGAAAAUAUCAGUGGGAGAUUAUGAAUAUUUAACACAAAGACUGCAAUAUGUUAAUCCGAGGCUUGCUUCUGACUUGGAAACUAGAGAAGCAGAAAUUAGACAAAUGCUGAAUAUAGAAUAAUGAACUGAUAUACACUCAGUAAAUUUCAGAUAAGUUCAGUACAGUCAUUUCUUGUCACUAAAAUACAGAUAAAUUUCACCAUGGCAUUAUUCUAUCCGGCACACCAGAGGACAUAAUACAGUUCAACCGCAUACUAUCGUAAUUAUUCCAAGCACAACUUCUCUUCUGAAAUGAGUGAAAAAAGAUAAUUUGGCAGCAAACAGAAAAAGUCGGAGCAAUUAAUGGGAACACUUGACAAACUCAGUUGUGACAAACUCAAAAACAAGUAAAAGAUCAUGAGGAGCUACCAGAAAUAAAAAGAAAUGAUAUUGUACAUGUAGGACAGUGUUAUCAGUAGUGUAUGCGAACAUUCCCACCUUCAUGGGCGAAGUGGAUUGUCGGUUGGUCCCAUCACCGAAGCUUCCGAUAUUUACAAAUAAUUCAAAUCAUUAAAGGACACACUCAUUUAAGUCAUACUACUCAAAUGACCUUCGUGUGUUCGACUCCACAAAAGGGUCCCUUAAGAACGUCACGUUCCCCUUCAUAUCUUGACUGAAUACAAGAUGUAGGUAUAUUGUGGAUGACUUUUCCGUAUCGGAUGCUCAUAUCGAAUAACAUACAUUUGUAUCGAGCACUGCGUGGCGACAGUACAACUACAUAAAUCUCAGGUUUGCUUCAUCCUUGUACAUGUUUUCUGUAUACACAUACACGUAUAUGUUGUUUACUCUCUCCAUUGAAGCAUUCGUGAAUAAAUCAAUAGUUCAUUUUUCCUUU
Pecten maximus is the source of this 1399-nucleotide long non-coding RNA. RefSeq lists it as uncharacterized. The record is from RefSeq and is a predicted model, not a curated record. Lineage: Eukaryota; Metazoa; Mollusca; Bivalvia; Pectinida; Pectinidae. The transcript is spliced from 2 exons.